This 497-nucleotide ribosomal RNA is filed under the name uncultured bacterium. RNAcentral describes it as "partial 16S ribosomal RNA". It matches the Rfam family "Bacterial small subunit ribosomal RNA", at positions 28 to 507 of the family's 1533-position model. The record is from RNAcentral.
GAUGAACGCUGGCGGCGUGCCUAAUACAUGCAAGUCGAGCGAACGGACGAGACGCUUGCUUUUCUGAUGUUAGCGGCGGACGGGUGAGUAACACGUGGAUAACCUACCUAUAAGACUGGGAUAACUUCGGGAAACCGGAGCUAAUCCCGGAUAAUAUUUUGAACCGCAUGGUUCAAAAGUGAAAGACGGUCUUGCUGUCACUUAUAGAUGGAUCCGCGCUGCAUUAGCUAGUUGGUAAGGUAACGGCUUACCAAGGCAACGAUGCAUAGCCGACCGGAGAGGGUGAUCGGCCACACUGGAACUGAGCCACGGUCCAGACUACUACGGGAGGCAGCAGAAGGGAAUCUUCCGCAAUGGGCGAAAGCCUGACGGAGCAACGCCGCGUGAGUGAUAAAGGUAUGCGGAUCGUAAAACUCUGUUAUUAGGGAAGAACAUAUGUGUAAGUAACUGUGCACAUCUUGACGGUACCUAAUCAGAAAGCCACGGCUAACUACGUG